This 1443-nucleotide ribosomal RNA is filed under the name uncultured organism. RNAcentral's name for it is "SSU rRNA". It matches the Rfam family "Bacterial small subunit ribosomal RNA". The record is from RNAcentral.
UGCAGGCUUAACACAUGCAAGUCGAGGGGCAUCAGGAAGUAAGCUUGCUUUCUUUGCUGGCGACCGGCGCACGGGUGAGUAACACGUAUCCAACCUGCCCUUUACUCGGGGAUAGCCUUUCGAAAGAAAGAUUAAUACCCGAUAGCAUAAUGAUUCCGCAUGGUUUCAUUAUUAAAGGAUUCCGGUAAAGGAUGGGGAUGCGUUCCAUUAGGUUGUUGGUGAGGUAACGGCUCACCAAGCCUUCGAUGGAUAGGGGUUCUGAGAGGAAGGUCCCCCACAUUGGAACUGAGACACGGUCCAAACUCCUACGGGAGGCAGCAGUGAGGAAUAUUGGUCAAUGGGCGCUAGCCUGAACCAGCCAAGUAGCGUGAAGGAUGAAGGCUCUAUGGGUCGUAAACUUCUUUUAUAUAAGAAUAAAGUGCAGUAUGUAUACUGUUUUGUAUGUAUUAUAUGAAUAAGGAUCGGCUAACUCCGUGCCAGCGGCCGCGGUAAUACGGAGGAUCCGAGCGUUAUCCGGAUUUAUUGGGUUUAAAGGGAGCGUAGGUGGACUGGUAAGUCAGUUGUGAAAGUUUGCGGCUCAACCGUAAAAUUGCAGUUGAUACUGUCAGUCUUGAGUACAGUAGAGGUGGGCGGAAUUCGUGGUGUAGCGGUGAAAUGCUUAGAUAUCACGAAGAACUCCGAUUGCGAAGGCAGCUCACUGGACUGCAACUGACACUGAUGCUCGAAAGUGUGGGUAUCAAACAGGAUUAGAUACCCUGGUAGUCCACACAGUAAACGAUGAAUACUCGCUGUUUGCGAUAUACAGUAAGCGGCCAAGCGAAAGCAUUAAGUAUUCCACCUGGGGAGUACGCCGGCAACGGUGAAACUCAAAGGAAUUGACGGGGGCCCGCACAAGCGGAGGAACAUGUGGUUUAAUUCGAUGAUACGCGAGGAACCUUACCCGGGCUUAAAUUGCAGUGGAAUGAUGUGGAAACAUGUCAGUGAGCAAUCACCGCUGUGAAGGUGCUGCAUGGUUGUCGUCAGCUCGUGCCGUGAGGUGUCGGCUUAAGUGCCAUAACGAGCGCAACCCUUAUCUUUAGUUACUAACAGGUCAUGCUGAGGACUCUAGAGAGACUGCCGUCGUAAGAUGUGAGGAAGGUGGGGAUGACGUCAAAUCAGCACGGCCCUUACGUCCGGGGCUACACACGUGUUACAAUGGGGGGUACAGAAGGCAGCUAGCGGGUGACCGUAUGCUAAUCCCAAAAGCCUCUCUCAGUUCGGAUCGAAGUCUGCAACCCGACUUCGUGAAGCUGGAUUCGCUAGUAAUCGCGCAUCAGCCACGGCGCGGUGAAUACGUUCCCGGGUCUUGUACACACCGCCCGUCACACCAUGGGAGUCAGUAACGCCCGAAGUCAGUGACCCAACCGUAAGGAGGGAGCUGCCGAAGGUGGGACCGAUAACUGG